This 348-nucleotide ribosomal RNA is filed under the name Triticum aestivum (bread wheat). RNAcentral's name for it is "partial small subunit ribosomal RNA". Lineage: Eukaryota; Viridiplantae; Streptophyta; Magnoliopsida; Poales; Poaceae. The record is from RNAcentral.
AUGAAGCGUCGUGGGGCCGUUGAAGCUCGCCACGGAUUGCAAUGGAGCGUCGCCGGUGUUGCCAUGGAUGCUGCUGCGCUGGGUGUUGGCAUUUUGAGCAGCACCCAGUGUUGCGAUGCAGCAGUUGCUGGCGGCUCCGGUGCUGCGAUGCACCAGUCGACGGCGGCUCCGGUGCUGCGAGAUUGCCGACAGGUAAAGACGCUGGAUCAUGGGCGUGGUGAAUGGAAGAACAGAGAAAGAAGACAACGACUUUGUUUGUUGAGGAAGAAGACAGUGACUCUGUUUGUUGAGAUCGCACGGCCACCAUCCAUCGGAUCCGACGGCUGGCUAGGCGGCUUAAUUUUGUGA